This is a long non-coding RNA of Passer domesticus (house sparrow), 815 nucleotides long. RefSeq lists it as uncharacterized. The transcript has 6 exons. Lineage: Eukaryota; Metazoa; Chordata; Aves; Passeriformes; Passeridae. The record is from RefSeq and is a predicted model, not a curated record.
GGGAGAUGCUGAGGGUGUGUCUGCAGGGAGGACUUCUCAAGCUCCAGGGCUGGAUGCUUGGCCCCAACCCAGCUCCCAUGACAGGGGUCCUCCAAAAGGAAAGACCCAAGAUACUGCAGCCAAAAAGUCUCAUGACUCAGAUGAAUUCCUGAGACAAACACAGAAGGAAGCACCCGGAGGACAAGUGAUGGACCAAAAGGCUGUUCAGGAGGAGGAACACUCAGGGAGAAGCAGUGGCUCAUUGGCAGCCCCUGCUGCGGGAAGGAAGGCGAUGCCAGACACGGGCACAGGCACAGCAGAUGCAGCUGGCACCACAAGACCUGUUACCGAUGCCCAGGAUGGCCUCGGAAGGGGUUUCUGUCAGGGAACAGUCUGCUGGCUAGGGUUACUGGGAGGCGUGCUUUCUUUGGAGCUUGUCUUCAUGUUGGGCUGCUUUGGAAUCGGGUAUUCCUGGAAGAGAAAACAGAGCACCUCGGGACAGGAGUUGGAAGACAGUGGCUGCACCUCACACCCAGACAGCGUGAGCAGCUCCUCCAGCAGCAGGAACAGCCUGGACAGCCCUCUCAAGUGUUCUGUGAAGAGGACCCCAGAACAACCGUCUACGACGAAGCCACCUCUUACACUGUAGAUCCCACUGUGACCUGCUCUCUCCAUGGGCCUCCCCAAGCUGCCUUCAUUCCUUUUUUUCUCUCCGUCUGUCCCAUCCCAGCCAACCCGAGUUCCUCCAGGGACCCCAGGACCAGCCCAGCACAUUCCAGCACCUCCUGAGACCAACACAUCCCUUCCCCUGCCCCUGAGCCCCCUGGCCUUGCCCU